UACAGAGACUGCGAGCGUUAUUCGGAUUCAUUGGGCGUAAAGGGUGCGUAGGUGGCGCUGUAAGUCGGGUGUGAAAUUUCGGAGCUUAACUCCGAAACUGCAUUCGAUACUGCGGUGCUUGAGGACUGGAGAGGAGACUGGAAUUCAUGGUGUAGCAGUGAAAUGCGUAGAGAUCAUGAGGAAGACCAGUGGCGAAGGCGGGUCUCUGGACAGUUCCUGACACUGAGGCACGAAGGCCAGGGGAGCAAACGGG
RNAcentral lists this ribosomal RNA (253 nucleotides) under uncultured bacterium. RNAcentral's name for it is "partial 16S ribosomal RNA". It matches the Rfam family "Bacterial small subunit ribosomal RNA", at positions 524 to 776 of the family's 1533-position model. The record is from RNAcentral.